AUAGAACGCUGGCGGCAUGCCUUACACGUGCAAGUCGAACGGUAACAGGUCUUCGGAUGCUGACGAGUGGCGAACGGGUGAGUAAUACAUCGGAACGUGCCUAGUAGUGGGGGAUAACUACUCGAAAGAGUGGCUAAUACCGCAUGAGAUCUACGGAUGAAAGCAGGGGAUCGCAAGACCUUGUGCUACUAGAGCGGCCGAUGGCAGAUUAGGUAGUUGGUGGGAUAAAAGCUUACCAAGCCGACGAUCUGUAGCUGGUCUGAGAGGACGAUCAGCCACACUGGGACUGAGACACGGCCCAGACUCCUACGGGAGGCAGCAGUGGAGAAUUUUGGACAAUGGGCGCAAGCCUGAUCCAGCAAUGCCGCGUGCAGGAUGAAGGCCUUCGGGUUGUAAACUGCUUUUGUACGGAACGAAAAGCCCUGGGUUAAUACCCUGGGGUCAUGACGGUACCGUAAGAAUAAGCACCGGCUAACUACGUGCCAGCCGCCGCGGUAA
RNAcentral lists this ribosomal RNA (498 nucleotides) under uncultured bacterium. Its description in RNAcentral is "partial 16S ribosomal RNA". It matches the Rfam family "Bacterial small subunit ribosomal RNA", at positions 31 to 523 of the family's 1533-position model. The record is from RNAcentral.